CCUCCUAUCUGUAUAAAUUGAAGUGAUUCUUGAAAUCCUCGAUAUCAUUCUACAACUAAUCAAACAUGGACCAAAAACAUGAAAUGGCAGUAAGCAAGAUGCGGGAACUAGUGGAGACCCAAGGAAUUCCAACUCAGAAGUGUUUGGAUCAAACCUUUUUAAGAUUUCUGAAAGCAAAAUCAAUGAACCCAGAAAAGGCUGCAAGAUGUUUGUUGAACGGGAAAAAUGGAGGGAAGAAUUCGUUCCAUUAGGUUUCAUACCUGAGAGCGAAAUAGCAGAUCAAUUGGGUGAUAAAAAGAUUUACUUACAAGGCCUGACUAAAAUCGGACAACAUCCAUUUCUGAUCUGUAUAAGUAGCAGACACUUCACUUCAGCAUCCAAGGAUCCACUUCAAUUUAAGAUUCUUUCAAUGAGGGAAAAGAAAUAGGGAAUGAAAAGAUAAUGGCAGCCGUGGAUUUAAAAAGUUUCCCUUAUAAGAGUAUUGACGCCCGUGGUUUCACUAUUACCUUCAACCUUCUGAAGGCUUACUAUCCCGCGAGACUAGGAAAAAUGUAUGUUAAAUGCCCC
Molecule: long non-coding RNA, 567 nt
Organism: Papaver somniferum (opium poppy)
Lineage: Eukaryota; Viridiplantae; Streptophyta; Magnoliopsida; Ranunculales; Papaveraceae
Exons: 4
Source: RefSeq, a predicted model, not a curated record